This 786-nucleotide ribosomal RNA is filed under the name uncultured bacterium. RNAcentral describes it as "bacterial SSU rRNA". It matches the Rfam family "Bacterial small subunit ribosomal RNA", at positions 60 to 806 of the family's 1533-position model. The record is from RNAcentral.
AGUCGAGCGAGCUUGCCUAGAUGAUUUUAGUGCUUGCACUAAAUGAAACUAGAUACAAGCGAGCGGCGGACGGGUGAGUAACACGUGGGUAACCUGCCCAAGAGACUGGGAUAACACCUGGAAACAGAUGCUAAUACCGGAUAACAACACUAGACGCAUGUCUAGAGUUUGAAAGAUGGUUCUGCUAUCACUCUUGGAUGGACCUGCGGUGCAUUAGCUAGUUGGUAAGGUAACGGCUUACCAAGGCAAUGAUGCAUAGCCGAGUUGAGAGACUGAUCGGCCACAUUGGGACUGAGACACGGCCCAAACUCCUACGGGAGGCAGCAGUAGGGAAUCUUCCACAAUGGACGAAAGUCUGAUGGAGCAACGCCGCGUGAGUGAAGAAGGGUUUCGGCUCGUAAAGCUCUGUUGGUAGUGAAGAAAGAUAGAGGUAGUAACUGGCCUUUAUUUGACGGUAAUUACUUAGAAAGUCACGGCUAACUACGUGCCAGCAGCCGCGGUAAUACGUAGGUGGCAAGCGUUGUCCGGAUUUAUUGGGCGUAAAGCGAGUGCAGGCGGUUCAAUAAGUCUGAUGUGAAAGCCUUCGGCUCAACCGGAGAAUUGCAUCAGAAACUGUUGAACUUGAGUGCAGAAGAGGAGAGUGGAACUCCAUGUGUAGCGGUGGAAUGCGUAGAUAUAUGGAAGAACACCAGUGGCGAAGGCGGCUCUCUGGUCUGCAACUGACGCUGAGGCUCGAAAGCAUGGGUAGCGAACAGGAUUAGAUACCCUGGUAGUCCAUGCCGUAAA